This 1191-nucleotide ribosomal RNA is filed under the name Chryseobacterium sp. 83A. Its description in RNAcentral is "bacterial SSU rRNA". It matches the Rfam family "Bacterial small subunit ribosomal RNA", at positions 156 to 1354 of the family's 1533-position model. The record is from RNAcentral. Lineage: Bacteria; Pseudomonadati; Bacteroidota; Flavobacteriia; Flavobacteriales; Weeksellaceae.
AGGAAGAUUAAUACCCCAUAAUAUAUUGAAUGGCAUCAUUCGAUAUUGAAAACUCCGGUGGAUAGAGAUGGGCACGCGCAAGAUUAGAUAGUUGGUGAGGUAACGGCUCACCAAGUCUACGAUCUUUAGGGGGCCUGAGAGGGUGAUCCCCCACACUGGUACUGAGACACGGACCAGACUCCUACGGGAGGCAGCAGUGAGGAAUAUUGGACAAUGGGUGAGAGCCUGAUCCAGCCAUCCCGCGUGAAGGACGACGGCCCUAUGGGUUGUAAACUUCUUUUGUAUAGGGAUAAACCUACUCUCGUGAGAGUAGCUGAAGGUACUAUACGAAUAAGCACCGGCUAACUCCGUGCCAGCAGCCGCGGUAAUACGGAGGGUGCAAGCGUUAUCCGGAUUUAUUGGGUUUAAAGGGUCCGUAGGCGGAUCUGUAAGUCAGUGGUGAAAUCUCACAGCUUAACUGUGAAACUGCCAUUGAUACUGCAGGUCUUGAGUGUUAUUGAAGUAGCUGGAAUAAGUAGUGUAGCGGUGAAAUGCAUAGAUAUUACUUAGAACACCAAUUGCGAAGGCAGGUUACUAAGCAACAACUGACGCUGAUGGACGAAAGCGUGGGGAGCGAACAGGAUUAGAUACCCUGGUAGUCCACGCCGUAAACGAUGCUAACUCGUUUUUGGGUUUUCGGAUUCAGAGACUAAGCGAAAGUGAUAAGUUAGCCACCUGGGGAGUACGUUCGCAAGAAUGAAACUCAAAGGAAUUGACGGGGGCCCGCACAAGCGGUGGAUUAUGUGGUUUAAUUCGAUGAUACGCGAGGAACCUUACCAAGGCUUAAAUGGGAAAUGACAGGUUUAGAAAUAGACUUUUCUUCGGACAUUUUUCAAGGUGCUGCAUGGUUGUCGUCAGCUCGUGCCGUGAGGUGUUAGGUUAAGUCCUGCAACGAGCGCAACCCCUGUCACUAGUUGCCAUCAUUAAGUUGGGGACUCUAGUGAGACUGCCUACGCAAGUAGAGAGGAAGGUGGGGAUGACGUCAAAUCAUCACGGCCCUUACGCCUUGGGCCACACACGUAAUACAAUGGCCGGUACAGAGGGCAGCUACACAGCGAUGUGAUGCAAAUCUCGAAAGCCGGUCUCAGUUCGGAUUGGAGUCUGCAACUCGACUCUAUGAAGCUGGAAUCGCUAGUAAUCGCGCAUCAGCCA